CUUGGCCUAGUAAGGAAGCAAUACAGGCACCGAUGUGCACCAACGGCCCUUCUUUUCCUAGAUCUAGGCCUGCAGAGACAGCUCCAAUGCUUCCAAUGAUCUGUAACAUAAAAGAGUUAAAGACCACAAACUGAGGGACAGUCAACCACCGCGAGAAGCUUGUAGCCUGCAAUAUUCUCAAUUGCAAGAUUGAUAAGGGUGGCAAUAAUACCAGUUAGAAGCCCAACAAGGAAUGCCAGUGUCCAUUUCAAGAAUAUAUACUGCAACACUUGGGAUUUUGUUCUGCUUCUCCAAUCAUGCCUGAAGAGAUCAUUCUCAUUGAUCCUGCAUCAAAAACACUUCCUACUUACAUGAAGAAACAGAAACAUUAGAAUUCUCAGAACCAACGAAGACAGGAUGAUGAUUUUCUUACUCGUAAUCCAAGCUCUCAAUAUAAGAAACCUUUGCUCCAACCAUGGCUAGUGGAGUGGAGGAAAGUGUUCGGCUUCUUUUGAGGAGUGGCUGGUGUAAGGUAUUGCUCUCUGGGUCUCUUUCCUCUUCAUCUUCUUGUCCUUCCAUGUUGUGGGUUGUUUCUUCUGCAAAUUGGCUCGAGUCUUCCUCCAUCGAGGGAAUCUCAGCAGCAGCGGAGGGAAAUUCAGGUGGUCUUGUUGGAUAUUAAUGGUUCUAGUCUGCAAUACAGAGAAGCUAAGCCGCCUUAGCUGGUCUUAAAAUUCAAAACUAGAUGGAGCUGAAACAUGCUCUUUAUAUAUCCAUACUUGUCUUGUUAUAAUAACAUCCACUUGUUUACUUUUGCUAUCAUAAAAGUGACAUUACUUUUGAUUCUAA
This is a long non-coding RNA of Cornus florida, 825 nucleotides long. RefSeq lists it as uncharacterized. The transcript has 2 exons. The record is from RefSeq and is a predicted model, not a curated record. NCBI's taxonomy places the organism in Eukaryota, Viridiplantae, Streptophyta, Magnoliopsida, Cornales, Cornaceae.